GAAAUGCGAUAAGUAAUGUGAAUUGCAGAAUUCAGUGAAUCAUCGAAUCUUUGAACGCACCUUGCGCUCCUUGGUAUUCCUUGGAGCAUGCCUGUUUGAGUAUCAUGAAAUCUUCAAAGUAAAUCUUUUGUUAACUCAAUUGGUUUCUACUUUGGUAUUGGAGGUCUUUGCAGCUUCACACCUGCUCCUCUUUGUUCAUUAGCUGGAUCUCAGUGUUAUGCUUGGUUCCACUCGGCGUGAUAAGUUAUCUAUCGCUUAGGACACUGUAAAAGGUGGCCAAGGUAAAUGCAGAUGAACCGCUUCUAAUAGUCCAUUGACUUGGACAAUACUUUUAUGAUCUGAUCUCAAAUCAGGUAGGACUACCCGCUGAACUUAAGC
This 378-nucleotide unclassified non-coding RNA is filed under the name plant metagenome. RNAcentral's name for it is "partial contains 5.8S ribosomal RNA, internal transcribed spacer 2, and large subunit ribosomal RNA". The stretch from base 1 to 105 matches the Rfam family "5.8S ribosomal RNA", at positions 50 to 154 of the family's 154-position model. The record is from RNAcentral.